UACCAACUUUGUGACUUUACGUGACUUUAAGACUACCAAAAACUAAAGACGAAAAGGAAGAACCGUCUGAAGGCCAAGAACUUUUCCGAAUAAGAACAGGUACCUGCUAUGAGCGUGUUGGCAUGACGGAAGGAAAGCGUCAUAAGUAAGAUGUUAAUAACGGCUUGUUCAAAUAAGUUAAGUCAAUCAACCUACCGAAUAUUACAGAAGAUACGUUCGUAAGGACAAGAUUGAUGACGAGACCUGUUCCUAAAUAGACUUUUCUGUCACCGUGUCUUGGGUCUUUAAAAUGAAAUGACGGUCCGACCUUCCGAAAAUUAGGUUUUAAUACUCAAGAAUUUGAGUAGGAAAGUGAAAAGACGUCAAAGACCGAUAUACCCCUUUGAAACGACGAAAGAUGAUGUAGUAUUUAAAGACAUAGUCGUCAAGUCGUGGUAUGGUUGACGACCCUACAUGUGAUAGUACAUGGCGGAAACAUCUGUCGGCGGUAUGACCUAUUGUUACGACGAUUAGUCACCUCAACCGUACCCAGGACAUUAUCGAGACUCUAUAAAGUCUACAUGUAUGUCAGGAUCACGAUAAUUGUGAGAAGUCUUCCGGCUCGCUAGUGCACCGGUUACAUUAGACCUUAGAGUUGACUCUAGUCACUUGCUAUUAAGCUGGUCGAUAGCUCGCUGCUACGACUAAGGCGCCUGGUGCAGAUCCUGACCCUGUUCUUAGCGGGUGGCCGGUGGCGUGGCGGACAAGGUGCAAGAGUAGGUGCGCAAGCAGCACCGAGCGCCAGGGAGCGCCUGUGCCAGUCGCUAGUUGCCGUUGGAGCGGUGUGUGUCCCGUAGUGUAGCGUACCGGGCAGCGCUGGGCUCGUUGGAUCUUUAAAGGGCCAGGCAAGCGCGGGUGGGCAGGCGGUCGCGCCGCUUCGGCACAGGCCAUUCCUUUCCUUGGCCAACCGCGGUCCGGCGGAGGGGGAGGGGGUGGCGGAGGCGCCGCCGAUAUUUUGCGCGGGUCCACGCGGGAGAGGAGGGGCGCGAGGCCAGGGCAGGGAGGAGGCUGGAAAGAGCCGUAAGCUUAGGCCGGGCACAGGAGGCGGAGGCACGCUCGAGCCCUUCGCUAGCUAGCCCCCUAAGUAGGUGAACACCGGAGGCAAACCAAACGCUAAGAUAGAGACUUAGACAAAACACACAGGCGAAGACAAACGUUGACGCCUAGGACACAAGGAGCAUAAGCAUAAGCGUAGGCGCGCGCAACCAACGUCCUAGCAGCUCGGACCAAAAGCCUUAACCUCGAGAUUUAACACCUCGACCUCCGGCUCCGUUCUACAACCUUAGUGUGCCGAAUCGCCCACCGGGUCAAAAGGGAGCCGUGCCGCUCCGCAUAGCACGAGCAACGUCUAAAUAAAAUCGGGUCUCUCACGACCAUCGGUAUAAAUCCUUCAAACACGAAUACCCGUUUAGAGACAUGUCACUCAGUCCAGUCACAAGAUAGUUGCCAAACAAACCAAAUCAACACAAGGAGGUGUGUAACCAACGUCCUAACCUAGACCUUACACCUCUAGGGAAACCACAAGUCUACGUCCUCACAUCAUAAAGACGUGUCUACUUAGUAUCCCACCUCCAGCAUCAACUACUUGAGUUCAGGUUGGACUAACUCGGGUUUGGUACGACCAAGUAAAGAGGAUUGGUUUUUAAAUAUCUCUUCCGGAGAACGAGCGACGUCCAACAUCAACUUCUUGAGGAAAGGUUGGGCCAAAAACGGGGACGGGAAGGAUACCAACGUCUAACAAGAAAUCGGGUCCGGUACACCCGUUACUGAUCGAGAGGUACCAACAAUGUGAACUAGGGACACGAGAGAACCAGAAGACGCUCACAGCCAACCGUUCUAUAUUAUCAAUCCUCAAACCCGGGUUUGGAAACGAGACAUGUACCUCAGUCCCAUGAACUCCGUCCAGUCAAAGGGUACAAACCAGUGUAACUAAAUGACCUAAGGAGUAGACACGAACCACUGCAGUCUAAACUCACCGAGAUGGAAUUCAAGGACCAAAUACAAACAGACUACCGACAAACCCUCGAAGCAAGACCUACCUCCUCAGAAGGAGCUGGUGUUUUUGAAUUUGGACCUGAGGUACGAACAAAGUUGACU
RNAcentral lists this ribosomal RNA (2136 nucleotides) under Triticum aestivum (bread wheat). Its description in RNAcentral is "partial small subunit ribosomal RNA". The record is from RNAcentral. Lineage: Eukaryota; Viridiplantae; Streptophyta; Magnoliopsida; Poales; Poaceae.